Molecule: unclassified non-coding RNA, 3858 nt
Filed under: Hevea brasiliensis (rubber tree)
Lineage: Eukaryota; Viridiplantae; Streptophyta; Magnoliopsida; Malpighiales; Euphorbiaceae
Source: RNAcentral
CUCAGAGCUGGGCUGCCACUAAUAGUGACACUUUUGAUGUGAUUUAUCAUGAGAGAAUAUGUUGGAGUCUCACUCUGCAUUGCAACAAGAAUGGUCUCACAUUUAUUCUCUUUCUUUUUCUCUUUAAUCAAGACCUUUGUUGCGAUUUGAUUGGCUUUUAACAAACGAUUUGUUUUUCCCUUAUGCUUUCUCUCUCUAGAUUCCCGUGCCAAUUUUACCCAUUUUUUCACUCAAAUCAAUACCCUUUACCCUCUCAAAUUUCUGCAUCUUGGUUAGGGUGAGAAAGAAAAGAAGAAAAGGAGAAAAAGGGUUACUGUGGGUCUGGUUUGGAUGUGUGCAGUGUUUUGGGUGAUCUAGAGUUAGGUGUUGAGAUGAAUGGGAUUCAGGGCAAUAAGGCUCAAAAUAUAGAAAAACCCUUUCCAGGAUGCUUGGGCAGAAUGGUGAACUUUUUGGAUUUAGGCAAUGAUGCAACUGGAAAUUGGCUGCUUACAGAUAAACCACAUGGUGAUGAUGAUCUCUUUGUAUUUGUUGCCUAUUUCUUUUUCAGGAAAAGAAAACCACUGUUUGAGCUUUUGGUAGGCAUGCGAAUUGCUUGUUGCUUAGCUUUUGUAGUUCCAUUUCAAAAUGUUUGUUACUGUCUGCUGUGAAAGAGCUUUAGUUAACUGUUACUUUAUGAUUGUAGAGACUCUGGCUAAUGAAAUUCAUCGUUUGGCAUCUGUUUAAGUUCACUUGUGUGGUUGGUCAUUCUUUUCCAAUCACCAGGACUAUACUAUGUCCAUUAGGGUUUGUUUAACUCAUGGUGAAUCUUCAGAUUGGCUCACAUAUGCAUUUCAUAUUUGCUAACAAUUAUUUAAGCAUCUUGAGUUAUAUAAAUCUCUUCUUGUUUAUGUUUAGAGCUUGAAAUUUUUUCUGGUUGAUGUUCACUGCCCUCUUGGGCAGGUUCUCUUGGCCUGUAAAAUUAGAUCUUGUCCACAAAUAAUUACUCUUUCUGGGUAAAAUUAUGUUCCAAAUGAUCUGAUUUCUCUUGUAUGGAUUCCCUUAUAAAUUUAUCAGAGAAAAUAAAGGGAAGAUUCAGCUUUCUUCCUGGUUAGGAAUAAUGAUGAUGAUUUGCAUCACAAUAUUCUUAGUUGUGUGUUUAUUUUUAAACAUUAUGUUGGCAGCUGUUGGUCAUUUGCAGGUUCUUCACUCUCAAGGAGUCACUCAGAUGUGGCAAGGAUGCUGAGAUCACCCUUUGCGAAUCAGAUUGAAGAUAAAAUGGUAAAAUAAUGGAGAUUAUUUAUUGAUUGUGUCCGAGUUAAGGAGAAGCUCCUCAAACAAGAAAGCGAGUGGAACACCCAUAAAGACACUCAUAGCCCAAGAAAUGUCCAAAGAAGUGGAUUCUAGACAUAAUCCACCAAAUGUUGUUGCCAAGUUGAUGGGACUUGAUACCCUCCCACUGCAACUGUCUAAUUCAGCUGCAGAAAGAAGCCACUCAAAAGGUUAUUCAAGACGUUCUUUAAGUCACUCAGGGAUACUAGAGGAUUGUUGGGAGCAAGAUAAUGGUUUUUUGGACAAGCGAAUGCAUUGUGAAGAACAAAAUGAGUACAAAGAUGUAUAUGAGAUAUGGCAGCAAUCUCAAAAGACAAAUGUAAGAGAUAGUUCACCACACAAAGGAAGGCAUACUGAAAAUACAAAUGAGAAGAAGAUGACCCUUGUUCGGGAGAAGUUCAUGGAAGCAAAGCGUUUGGCCACAGAUGAGAAAGGCCGCCAGUCCAAGGAAUUCCAAGAUGCAUUAGAAAUUUUAAGUUCCAAUAGAGAUCUAUUCCUCAAGUUUCUGCAAGAACCUAAUUCCAUGUUCUCUCCGCAUCUGUAUGAUAUGUGCUCUAUUCCUCCGCCUCCUGAGACAAAACGCAUUACUGUACUUAGACCUUCUAAGGCGAUUGAUAAUGAAAAGUUUGCAGGAUCAGGAACGAAGUGUGAUAAGCAGGCAAAUAAACCAGCCCAUACUGGCCAAGCUAUCGUGUGGGACAAAAAUAACUCUGGAUGUUCUCCUACUUUUGCCAAUCAGAGGUUUGAAGAAUAUCCUGCUCAACCAACACGAAUUGUAGUAUUGAAGCCUAGCCCUGGGAAGACUCAUGACGUUAAGGCUGUGAUUUCACCACCUACCUCAUCACCGAGAAUAUUACAGGGUGAAGAGUUUUAUGAUGAAGCUGAAGAUGAUGAAGCACAAGAAUCAAGAGAGGUUGCCAAGGAGAUCACAUUGCAGAUGCGUGGAAAUCUGAUGGGUCAUCGAAGGGAUGAAACUCUCCUUUCUUCUGUUUUUUCCAAUGGCUAUGUUGGUGAUGAUAGUUCCUUUAACAAAUCAGAAAAUGAGUAUGCUGUGGGGAAUCUCAGUGAUUCAGAAAUCAUGUCACCGACCUCUAGGCACUCGUGGGAUUAUAUCAACAGGUUUGGCAGUCCCUAUUCUUGUUCCUCCUUCAGCCGUGCAUCAUGUUCUCCAGAGUCUUCUGUUUGCAGAGAAGCGAAAAAGCGACUUUCUGAAAGAUGGGCCAUGAUGACAUCAAAUGGGAGUUCUCUGGAACAAAAAAACACUCGGAGAAGCUCUAGCACAUUGGGUGAGAUGCUUGCUCUUUCUGAUGCAAGGAAAUCAGUGAGAUCUGAGGCAGUGGCUUCUAUAAAGGAACAAGAACCAAGGGGAUCAACUUCUUGCUUAACUAGUAAUUUGAACAAGGAAGAAGGCAUGGUUGAUUCUCCUAAAAGCCUCCUGAGGUCCAGAUCUGUGCCUGCGUCUUCCACAGUGUAUGGUGCUGGGCUCAAUGUUGAGGUUUCAGAUUCGCAGGCUGGCAGAACAGAAGUUUCCAAGGAGCUGACAAAGGCAAAAAGCACGAAGUUAUCUUUAAAGGGGAAAGUUUCUAGCUUAUUUUUCUCAAGAAAUAAGAAAUCAAAUAAAGAAAUUACUGGUGUAUCUCAAUCUAAAGACGAACAUCAAUCUCCUACUCCUGAAACACCAGGGUCGCCAAUGCCUCUUCAUGGAAAGACCGGUGAUGAUUCAUCUCAAUGUACCAAUAACAGUGGCCUUGAAGAUUGUUUAUCUCCUGGUUUACAUGGACCUUCAAAUAAAACUACUUAUCCAGAUUUGAUUGCUGCAGCAACAAAACAAGGUUUUGUUUCCCGGGAGGUACUUAUUACUCAUUCUUCUUAUUAUUCUUACUCUUCCCUUGCUUUUACUAGCUGUUAUUAUUGUUGAUUUGUUAGUCUGGAUAUGGCAAUGCUGAUGGUUUCUUGCUUGUGUUCGAAGUUUUAGACUAGGCAGUUUUCUCUGCUUCAUUUCAAGGCAUACAAAUAUGGUAAUGAACACUUGAGGGACAUGACCAUUGCAAACUGCCCAUGAUCCUUGCCAAAUCCCUCUUCCAUUUCUGAGUUCCUUUGGUUUGUUAAAUAGUUGCAGUUGAUGAAACUGUGAUUCAUCUGGAAUGGGUAGAACUUGUAAGCUGAAAAUGGCCUUGUGGGCGCAAAAUCCUUGAGCUAAUUCAUUUUUAUCGUGUCCUUAUUCGACAUGGCCCCUGAUCAUGCCCCUGGGAAAUAUAUAGACUGAAAAUUGAAAUAUGAAACUGAAAUGGGCUCUGCUAAGCCAUGUAUUGUAUCAUUUUUUAUUCUCGUGUUACCUGAGUAGUGUUGGGACUUCUUCAAUGUCCUAUAUUGAGCUAGAUGCUUCUAAUAUGACAUUAAUAGCUUCAGUGGUUGAAUACUGCUACUUUUUUAUCAUUGUAACAGACUGUUGAACAUCGAAUAACUCGUGUCAAAAUCAACUAUUUGCAGGCACCCCUGUCAGUGGCAAAGCCCGUAGUGUCUAGGAAUAUGAGUGAGAACCAGGAUCAA